RNAcentral lists this long non-coding RNA (1089 nucleotides) under Ananas comosus (pineapple). RNAcentral describes it as "long non-coding RNA (ACOM_LNC038850)". The record is from RNAcentral. Lineage: Eukaryota; Viridiplantae; Streptophyta; Magnoliopsida; Poales; Bromeliaceae.
ACACUCUACCGCUAUCAAUCACUACACUAUCAUGCUCUACACUAACCAACUGUAGGAAAUGUCAAAUCUGACCCAAUCCAAUCGGGCCUGUAAGCAUACCCGUCCCUGGGACUGAAUAGACCCGUCCCUGUCCCGUUGCGACUGUCCAGCUACCUCCACAAUAACUGGUCUGUGGAGAGCAAGUCCAACUGGCAUGAGCGACACCAACGCGAAAGCAUAAAGCCUGACUCUGGAGUGGCACUCGUGAGCGCUACCCAACCGAGUAUGCAGCGUAUCUCUGUCGAGCUCAAACAGGCUCUGAAAAGCCAAAGUCAAGUAACCGACUCUAACAAGUCUAAUAACUAACAGUUCACGUGCCCUCGGCACAAUCUGUCGCCAAAAAAGCGAUCCGGGUCCACUGUCAAUUCUGACGGCACCCAACAGUCCGAAACAGCCUGAACGCUACUGUAAAAAUAUACUCGGCAUCCCGGCACGAGGGUAACUAAAAGCUAAACUACCUGGAAUACUCACUAUGAGGAUACUGCUACAGUAUAAAAUAAUACCACGGCCCCUAGGGCUAAAUCAGGUAGUUUAAAUAUAUGACGAUCAUAAUCGCGAGUUUUCUCCUAAGUCUUAUCCAAGUCCAACAUGUAUAUUUAGGGUUUACUAAUCAUGUCCUCAAGCUAAUUUCAUUCAUUAUACAAUCGACGAAAUUAAGCUACCACAUGAUUUACAAAAACAGGAAAUCAUACAUGUCGACUGAAUAAACCGAUGUAACCCACCUCGGUCGCUAAUCCCCGGCAGCAAGUAAGGUUACCAAAGUCCCUGUCAAGCACAGCGCAACUCCACGAACCAGCGACAAACACUCACUGCGGAUCUAGCCAUAGAAACCCGUAAUAAGCAUCGAAUCUGCCCAAAAUCACAGCAGCAGAGAAGAGAAGGGUUUCGACUGAGCAAACCUUCACCAAAUUCAGCAAAUAAGGGCUUCGUGGAUUCCUCUCGAAGUCCUGAAUCCAACGAACCAACUCUCUUCGAAAUCCGACGCUCCUACGACGAGAACGAGCCGAAACGCCAAUGAUCGACGUAGGAAAUCUGCAGGGCAGCACCUAG